RNAcentral lists this ribosomal RNA (350 nucleotides) under uncultured bacterium. RNAcentral describes it as "bacterial SSU rRNA". It matches the Rfam family "Bacterial small subunit ribosomal RNA", at positions 917 to 1269 of the family's 1533-position model. The record is from RNAcentral.
GGGCCCGCACAAGCGGUGGAGCAUGUGGUUUAAUUCGAUGAUACGCGAGGAACCUUACCAGGGCUUAAAUGUAACGGGACAGAUCUAGAGAUAGAUCCUUCUUCGGACUCAUUACAAGGUGCUGCAUGGUUGUCGUCAGCUCGUGCCGUGAGGUGUCAGGUUAAGUCCUAUAACGAGCGCAACCCCCAUCGUUAGUUGCCAACGAGUAAUGUCGGGAACUCUAACGAAACUGCCGGUGCAAACCGAGAGGAAGGUGGGGAUGACGUCAAAUCAUCACGGCCCUUACGUCCUGGCCUACACACGUGCUACAAUGGCCGGUACAGAGAGCAGCCACUACGCGAGUAGGAGCG